This is a long non-coding RNA of Neofelis nebulosa (Clouded leopard), 700 nucleotides long. RefSeq lists it as uncharacterized. The record is from RefSeq and is a predicted model, not a curated record. Lineage: Eukaryota; Metazoa; Chordata; Mammalia; Carnivora; Felidae. The transcript is spliced from 4 exons.
GGCUAGGUUGCCACAGUCAGGGACCGAGGAGGGUGACCCGGUGAGGGGCGCAAAUGAAGCACUGCCCUCUGGGGCUGGGCCAGGCACGGUUAUUUAUAACCACGGGUCACCUUACCUCCUGACCUUCAGCUGGGGCCCAGCGAGCCGCAGCGAUUAGCAUCUCCUGCCGCCCAUUAUGAACAAACACCCCUGUGUGCCCGCCCCAGGCCCUGCAGGAAGCAGGAUGUUGGCCGGAGCUGGUGCCCCGUGGCUCCCUCAGGUGAACCCGCCACGUGUGUCUUUACAGCAUGCGACAGAGCAGGGGGAGCGGAAGUUCCUGGAGUCUACAACCUUCCCCACCACUGCCUCCGUCAUCGCAUUCCAGAACCCAGAACCAAAGGCCACCUCCUGAGUCCACUGGUCCCAUCCACUGGCCUCUAGGGGCAGGUCCACCUGGUCCCAGGUAACCUCCCCAACACAGAAAUGUAGACUGCCUACAAAAUAAAAAGCCUGUGUCCACAGAAGCAGAACAGGCCAACAACAGGUGGCAAAAGGCAGCAGCUGAAAGUUCGCUCUGGGACCUGUCCCUCACCUGGGCUAGCCAAAGGGUGCCUGCACAGGAUGAAAUGAACUCUUCGAUGCGAAAGAGAAUAUGGGUCUCCUCCGCUGUUGAAUUUUCAUGGAACACCCCUUGUCCUUAAAUUGGGGAGGGCAGAGCAAC